Molecule: ribosomal RNA, 334 nt
Filed under: uncultured eukaryote
Lineage: Eukaryota
Description: partial 18S ribosomal RNA
Rfam family: Eukaryotic small subunit ribosomal RNA
Source: RNAcentral
CCCUUAGAUGUCCGGGGCCGCACGCGCGCUACACUGAAGGAAUCAGCGUGGCUUUCUCCCUGACCCGAAAGGGUUGGGAAACCCGUUGAAUCUCCUUCGUGAUAGGGAUUGGGGCUUGAAAUUGUUCCCCGUGAACGAGGAAUUCCCAGUAAGCGCGAGUCAUAAGCUCGCGUUGAUUACGUCCCUGCCCUUUGUACACACCGCCCGUCGCUACUACCGAUUGAACGGUUUAGUGAGGGCCUCGGAUUGGUCUCGGCCCGCUCUUUACCGGGCGGCGCCGUUGGUCGAGAAGACGCUCGAACUUGAUCGUUUAGAGGAAGUAAAAGUCGUAACA